RNAcentral lists this ribosomal RNA (419 nucleotides) under bacterium. RNAcentral describes it as "partial 16S ribosomal RNA". It matches the Rfam family "Bacterial small subunit ribosomal RNA", at positions 355 to 776 of the family's 1533-position model. The record is from RNAcentral.
UGGGGGAUAUUGCACAAUGGGCGAAAGCCUGAUGCAGCGACGCCGCGUGGGGGAUGAAGGCUUUCGGGUUGUAAACCUCUUUCGCUAUCGAACAAUGCCCGCUUAGGGUGGGUUGAGGGAGGUGGAGAAGAAGCGCCGGCUAACUACGUGCCAGCAGCCGCGGUAAUACGUAGGGCGCGAGCGUUGUCCGGAAUUAUUGGGCGUAAAGGGCUUGUAGGCGGCUUGUUGCGCCUGCUGUGAAAACGCGGGGCUUAACUUCGCGCGUGCAGUGGGUACGGGCAGGCUUGAGUGUGGUAGGGGUGACUGGAAUUCCAGGUGUAGCGGUGGAAUGCGCAGAUAUCUGGAGGAACACCGAUGGCGAAGGCAGGUCACUGGGCCAUUACUGACGCUGAGGAGCGAAAGCAUGGGUAGCGAACAGG